GGCUUGCCUGUGCCGAGUUGUGGUCUGUAGAAACAUGGUCGGUCGGCAUUCCGGGCCAAGUCCCUUGGAAAAGGGCAGCUGAGAGGGUGAGACUCCCGUUCUUGCCUGGAAUGUGCGAUCAUAGCACCUGUUUUCAACGAGUCGAGUUGCUUGGGAUUGCAGCUCAAAGUGGGUGGUAAAUUCCAUCUAAAGCUAAAUAUUGGUGGGAGACCGAUAGCGUACAAGUACCGUGAGGGAAAGAUGCAAAGAACUUUGAAAAGAGAGUUAAAGAGUACCUGAAAUUGCUGAAAGGGAAGCGAAGGAAACCAGUGCUUAUUCUAUGCCAUUCUUCUUCUGUUGCUUGCGACAGGGGCGCUGUGGUUUAGUAUGGGCCAGCAUGGGUUUGACUCGGAAUAAACGGCUUUGUGGGAGGUAGCUUCUUUUCGAAGUGAAGACCACUUUGUUCUAUUCUGGGUUGGAUCGAGGAUAGUCACUUGUGCUCGUGAUGC
RNAcentral lists this ribosomal RNA (488 nucleotides) under Chaetoceros hirtisetus. Its description in RNAcentral is "LSU rRNA". It matches the Rfam family "Eukaryotic large subunit ribosomal RNA", at positions 123 to 615 of the family's 3401-position model. The record is from RNAcentral. Lineage: Eukaryota; Bacillariophyta; Thalassiosirophyceae; Chaetocerotales; Chaetocerotaceae.